This 355-nucleotide unclassified non-coding RNA is filed under the name soil metagenome. RNAcentral's name for it is "partial contains 5.8S ribosomal RNA, internal transcribed spacer 2, and large subunit ribosomal RNA". The stretch from base 1 to 120 matches the Rfam family "5.8S ribosomal RNA", at positions 35 to 154 of the family's 154-position model. The record is from RNAcentral.
GAUGAAGAACGUAGCGAAAUGCGAUAAGUAAUGCGAAUUGCAGAAUUCAGUGAAUCAUCGAAUCUUUGAACGCACAUUGCGCCCGCUAGUAUUCUGGCGGGCAUGCCUGUCUGAGCGUCAUUUCAACCCUCGCCCCCGGCUUUUGCUGGGAGCGGUGUUGGGGAUCGGCCGCCCGUCACUGGGAGGUCGGCCCCGAAAUAGAGUGGCGACCACGCCGUGUGCUCCUCUGCGUAGUAGUAAAUCACCUCGCAGGCGGACAGCGGUGCGGCCUGCCGUAAAACCCCCAACUCUUUCUGGUUGACCUCAGAUCAGGUAGGAAUACCCGCUGAACUUAAGCAUAUCAAUAAGCGGAGGA